CAAGUCGAACGAGAUCCAAUGUGUAGCAAUACACAGGAAGAUCUAGUGGCGAACGGGUGAGGAACACGUGAGAAACGUACCCCGGACUCUGGGAUAACAAUUCGAAAGGAUUGCUAAUACCGGAUGACGUCGGAGAAUCGCAUGAUUUUCUGACGAAAGGAAUUCCGGUUCGGGAGCGUCUCGCGACCUAUCAGCUAGUUGGAGGGGUAACGGCCCACCAAGGCAACGACGGGUAGCUGGUCUGAGAGGAUGGUCAGCCACACUGGGACUGAGACACGGCCCAGACUCUUACGGGAGGCAGCAGUGGGGAAUCUUGCGCAAUGGGCGAAAGCCUGACGCAGCAACGCCGCGUGCGGGAAGAAGGCUUUCGGGCUGUAAACCGCUUUCAGUAGGAACGAAACUGACGGUACCUACAGAAGAAGGAGCGGCCAACUAUGUGCCAGCAGCCGCGGUGACACAUAGGCUCCAAGCGUUGUCCGGAUUUAUUGGGCGUAAAGAGCUCGUAGGCGGUUGAGUUAGUCGAGUGUGAAAACUUCGGGCUUAACCCGAAGACGCCACUCGAUACUGCUCUGACUUGAGUUCGGUAGGGGAGUGGGGAAUUCCUUGUGUAGCGGUGAAAUGCGCAGAUAUAAGGAGGAACACCGGUGGCGAAGGCGCCACUCUGGACCGAAACUGACGCUGAGGAGCGAAAGCGUGGGUAGCAAACAGGAUUAGAUACCCUGGUAGUCCACGCGGUAAACGGUGGGAACUAGGUGUGGGAUUCAACUAACGAAUUCCGCGCCGUCGCUAACGCAUUAAGUUCCCCGCCUGGGGAGUACGGUCGCAAGACUAAAACUCAAAGGAAUUGACGG
RNAcentral lists this ribosomal RNA (851 nucleotides) under uncultured bacterium. RNAcentral describes it as "bacterial SSU rRNA". It matches the Rfam family "Bacterial small subunit ribosomal RNA", at positions 58 to 916 of the family's 1533-position model. The record is from RNAcentral.